Molecule: ribosomal RNA, 425 nt
Filed under: uncultured bacterium
Lineage: Bacteria
Description: partial 16S ribosomal RNA
Rfam family: Bacterial small subunit ribosomal RNA
Source: RNAcentral
GUGGGGAAUCUUGCGCAAUGGGCGAAAGCCUGAUCCAGCCAUGCCGCGUGAGUGAUGAAGGCCUUAGGGUUGUAAAGCUCUUUCAGUGGGGACGAUAAUGACGGUACCCACAGAAGAAGCCCCGGCUAACUUCGUGCCAGCAGCCGCGGUAAUACGAAGGGGGCUAGCGUUGUUCGGAUUUACUGGGCGUAAAGCGCACGUAGGCGGAUCGUUAAGUCGGGGGUGAAAUCCUGGAGCUCAACUCCAGAACUGCCUUCGAUACUGGCGAUCUUGAGUCCGGAAGAGGUGAGUGGAACUCCUAGUGUAGAGGUGGAAUUCGUAGAUAUUAGGAAGAACACCAGUGGCGAAGGCGGCUCACUGGUCCGGUACUGACGCUGAGGUGCGAAAGCGUGGGGAGCAAACAGGAUUAGAUACCCCUGUAGUCC